GGGCAUUAGCUUAGUGGCAGAGUGCUUGCCUUGUACAUAUGAGGCACUGGGUUCGAUCCUCAGGACCA
RNAcentral lists this transfer RNA (68 nucleotides) under Marmota monax (woodchuck). RNAcentral's name for it is "tRNA.Thr". The record is from RNAcentral. Lineage: Eukaryota; Metazoa; Chordata; Mammalia; Rodentia; Sciuridae.